ACCCGCGACAGGACGGAAAGACCCCGUGGAGCUUUACUGCAACCUGAUAUGGAAUGUUUGUACCGCUUGUACAGCAUAGGUAGGAGCCGAAGAGACGUGUGCGCUAGCAUACGAGGAGGCAAUGGUGGGAUACUACCCUGGCUGUAUGACCAUUCUAACCCGCCACGCUUAGCGCGUGGGGAGACAGUGUCAGGUGGGCAGUUUGACUGGGGCGGUCGCCGCC
This 223-nucleotide ribosomal RNA is filed under the name Salmonella enterica subsp. enterica serovar Typhimurium. Its description in RNAcentral is "partial 23S ribosomal RNA". It matches the Rfam family "Bacterial large subunit ribosomal RNA", at positions 2068 to 2290 of the family's 2925-position model. The record is from RNAcentral. Lineage: Bacteria; Pseudomonadati; Pseudomonadota; Gammaproteobacteria; Enterobacterales; Enterobacteriaceae.